RNAcentral lists this ribosomal RNA (253 nucleotides) under uncultured bacterium. RNAcentral's name for it is "partial 16S ribosomal RNA". It matches the Rfam family "Bacterial small subunit ribosomal RNA", at positions 524 to 776 of the family's 1533-position model. The record is from RNAcentral.
UACAGAGGGUGCAAGCGUUAAUCGGAGUUACUGGGCGUAAAGGGCGCGUAGGCGGUCAUGCAAGUGAGAUGUGAAAUCCCCGGGCUUAACCUGGGAACUGCAUUUUAGACUGUGUGACUGGAGUACUGUAGAGGAUAGUGGAAUUUCGUGUGUAGGGGUGAAAUCCGUAAAUAUACGAAGGAACGCCAAAAGCGAAGGCAGCUCUCUGGGUCCCUACCGACGCUGGGGUGCGAAAGCAUGGGGAGCGAACAGG